RNAcentral lists this ribosomal RNA (301 nucleotides) under uncultured bacterium. Its description in RNAcentral is "partial 16S ribosomal RNA". It matches the Rfam family "Bacterial small subunit ribosomal RNA", at positions 509 to 807 of the family's 1533-position model. The record is from RNAcentral.
CAGUCGCCGCGGUAAUACGAAGGGGGCUAGCGUUGCUCGGAAUGACUGGGCGUAAAGGGCGCGUAGGCGGCGAUCAAAGUCAGGCGUGAAAUUCCUGGGCUCAACCUGGGGGCUGCGCUUGAUACUUGGUUGCUUGAGUGGGGAAGAGGGUCGUGGAAUUCCCAGUGUAGAGGUGAAAUUCGUAGAUAUUGGGAAGAACACCGGUGGCGAAGGCGGCAACCUGGUCCUUGACUGACGCUGAGGCGCGAAAGCGUGGGGAGCAAACAGGAUUAGAGACCCCAGUAGUCCCUGUCUCUUAUAC